CCCUUAGAUGUCCUGGGCCGCACGCGCGCUACACUGAGUGUCUGAGAUACGAGUCUGCCUGGUCCGGCAAGGUCUAGGUAAUCGCUAAAAGACACAUCAUGCUUGGGAUAGAUUAUUGCAAAUAUUAAUCUUGAACGAGGAAUUCCUAGUAAGCGCAAGUCAACAGCUUGCGUUGAUUACGUCCCUGCCCUUUGUACACACCGCCCGUCGCUACUACUGAUUGGAUGUUCAAGCGAGGUUCUCGAACUGCUAGCGACUUAGCUUCGGUGAGGUCGCAGUGUGGGAAGUGAACCUAGCUUUGGUGUCUAGAGGAAGUAAAAGUCGUAACA
RNAcentral lists this ribosomal RNA (329 nucleotides) under uncultured eukaryote. RNAcentral's name for it is "partial 18S ribosomal RNA". It matches the Rfam family "Eukaryotic small subunit ribosomal RNA", at positions 1470 to 1796 of the family's 1831-position model. The record is from RNAcentral.